RNAcentral lists this transfer RNA (90 nucleotides) under Xenopus tropicalis (tropical clawed frog). RNAcentral describes it as "Xenopus (Silurana) tropicalis (western clawed frog) tRNA". It matches the Rfam family "tRNA". Rfam says of the family: Transfer RNA (tRNA) molecules are approximately 80 nucleotides in length. Their secondary structure includes four short double-helical elements and three loops (D, anti-codon, and T loops). Further hydrogen bonds mediate the characteristic L-shaped molecular structure. tRNAs have two regions of fundamental functional importance: the anti-codon, which is responsible for specific mRNA codon recognition, and the 3' end, to which the tRNAs corresponding amino acid is attached (by aminoacyl-tRNA synthetases). tRNAs cope with the degeneracy of the genetic code in two manners: having more than one tRNA (with a specific anti-codon) for a particular amino acid; and 'wobble' base-pairing, i.e. permitting non-standard base-pairing at the 3rd anti-codon position. Lineage: Eukaryota; Metazoa; Chordata; Amphibia; Anura; Pipidae. The record is from Rfam by way of RNAcentral.
GGCUCUGUGGCGCAAUGGAUAGCGCAUUGGACUUCUAGUCGAUCAAGAUAAGAUAUUCAAAGGUUGUGGGUUCGAGUCCCACCAGAGUCA